Molecule: long non-coding RNA, 474 nt
Filed under: Parus major (Great Tit)
Lineage: Eukaryota; Metazoa; Chordata; Aves; Passeriformes; Paridae
Description: lncRNA (ENSPMJG00000008716.1)
Source: RNAcentral
UUGCUAGUCUGGUCCCUCUCUGAGCUCUGAAGUUCAGUGCCUUCCCUCUACUGAGCUAUGUGGGUGCUACAGGGAUUAGAAAUCAUUCAAAAGGACACACUGCUUUGAAACUACAAGACACCCACCUGCCUGGGACCCAGCCAAGGCUGGUCACAUUGUUGCACUAAUGGGCCUGCAUGUGAAGGCUCCAGUUCUGGCAUGAAUCGCAGCUCUUUGAGAUCCAUCUCUUCCCUGAGGUGUGCAUGAGUAGCAGUGAACCAGAGCAUGCUGUGAAGGGCAGAAGCAUUGAUUGAAGGAAGCAAUCGGAUACAUGUGUGAUUCUUUCUCCACAGAGUUCUCAAAAUCUAAUCAGAAAAGCUUUUCUUGAAAUUGCAUUUCUGUUUUAUGUUACAAAAUAAUUACACUUUUUAGUGCCUGAUGUUUCUUGACACUUUUUUUUCCCCCUUUGCUUGUGUCUACCUUCAGCAUAUCUAU